Molecule: ribosomal RNA, 505 nt
Filed under: uncultured bacterium
Lineage: Bacteria
Description: partial 16S ribosomal RNA
Rfam family: Bacterial small subunit ribosomal RNA
Source: RNAcentral
GACGAACGCUGGCGGCGUGCCUAAUACAUGCAAGCAGAACGCACAGUUUAUACCGUAGCUUGCUACACCAUAGACUGUGAGUUGCGAACGGGUGAGUAACGCGUAGGUAACCUGCCUGGUAGCGGGGGAUAACUAUUGGAAACGAUAGCUAAUACCGCAUAAUAUUAAUUAUUGCAUGAUAAUUAAUUGAAAGGUGCAAUUGCACCACUACCAGAUGGACCUGCGUUGUAUUAGCUAGUAGGUGAGGUAACGGCUCACCUAGGCGACGAUACAUAGCCGACCUGAGAGGGUGAUCGGCCACACUGGGACUGAGACACGGCCCAGACUCCUACGGGAGGCAGCAGUAGGGAAUCUUCGGCAAUAGACGAAAGGCUGACCGAGCAACGCCGCGUGAGUGAAGAAGGUUUUCGGAUCGUAAAGCUCUGUUGUAAGAGAAGAACGGGUGUGAGAGUGGAAAGUUCACACUGUGACGGUAUCUUACCAGAAAGGGACGGCUAACUACGUG